RNAcentral lists this ribosomal RNA (253 nucleotides) under uncultured bacterium. RNAcentral's name for it is "partial 16S ribosomal RNA". It matches the Rfam family "Bacterial small subunit ribosomal RNA", at positions 524 to 776 of the family's 1533-position model. The record is from RNAcentral.
GACGUAGGGUGCGAGCGUUGUCCGGAUUUAUUGGGCGUAAAGAGCUCGUAGGCGGCUCGUCGCGUCGACCGUGAAAACCCGCGGCUUAACUGCGGGCUUGCGGUUGAUACGGGCGGGCUAGAGUUCGGUAGGGGAGACUGGAAUUCCUGGUGUAGCGGUGAAAUGCGUAGAUAUCUGGAGGAACACCGGUGGCGAAGGCAGGUCUCUGGGCAUUAACUGACGCUGAGGAGCGAAAGCAUGGGGAGCGAACAGG